RNAcentral lists this long non-coding RNA (837 nucleotides) under Zea mays. RNAcentral describes it as "long non-coding RNA (ZMAY_LNC000693)". Lineage: Eukaryota; Viridiplantae; Streptophyta; Magnoliopsida; Poales; Poaceae. The record is from RNAcentral.
CAGCACCAAUAGGUCACCACGCGCCUGGAGUUGGACGACGCGACUGAGGCGCGGCAGUUCGACCGGGAUGGCGGGAUGCGCUCAGCGAAAUCUACGAGGUAGCGUAGCACGCGAGUCUUCAGGCGAGGGGAAAAACCCCCCGCCCCGCCCCGCCCCCGCGUUGGUCCUAGGCCACGACAACUUCGCCCCCACAUCCAAUCUCGGUGCCUGAUGCCUUGAGGCAAGCAGGGGGACCGGGACCGGACCCCAUGGCGGCGGUGGCGGUGCUCGACUCCUUCAUCAAGCGAUGCACGGCGUCAAAGGAGGACUUCGGCGGCCAGCCCAGCCAGAGAAGGCCUGCUUCCUUCUCGGCAUCGGGUUCGAGUUCGACAUCAGGGGCCUCCUGGCCACACACCAAUCACCUCAUCCCUAACAACGCCGCCGGACUUACCUACGCGGCGCGCGACUACGGCGGCAGCGACCCGUUUGAGGGGUUUCGCGACGCGGUGCUGGGGCCGAUAACUCAGAGAAUUCGGAAGAAGGAAGGAGAGUUCAGAGGAAGAAAGGACGAAGGAGACGAGGAAUAGUAUUUCUGCCAAAACAUUCGGUAAGUCCUUUGGCAUUUGAAAAAGUGCUCGUUCAAGAAAUGAGACUGCUACCGGCCUGAGAACCCACGUUGCAUUCUGAGUUACUUUGCCGCUUUUACUGGUUUGGCGUUUAGGUGUUUUUGGUCUCCUAGAAGAAGUCUAUGCUGCAGCGUUUCUGCAUGUACUCGGCCAGCAACUGGCCGUCGAGUCCGACGGCCACCUCGCAGCCGACGUGGAGCGGGUGCCAGUGCCGGUUGCCCCAGAACGCCAG